UACAGAGGGUGCGAGCGUUAAUCGGAAUUACUGGGCGUAAAGCGUGCGUCGACUGUUUCGUAAGUCGGGUGUGAAAUCCCCGGGCUCAACCUGGGAAUUGCAUUCGAAACUGCGAGGCUAGGGUACGGAAGAGGGAAGCGGAAUUUCUGGUGUAGCGGUGAAAUGCGUAGAUAUCAGAAGGAACAUCAGUGGCGAAAGCGGCUUCCUGGUCCAGUACCGACGUUCAGGCACGAAAGCGUGGGGAGCAAACAGG
This 253-nucleotide ribosomal RNA is filed under the name uncultured bacterium. RNAcentral's name for it is "partial 16S ribosomal RNA". It matches the Rfam family "Bacterial small subunit ribosomal RNA", at positions 524 to 776 of the family's 1533-position model. The record is from RNAcentral.